RNAcentral lists this ribosomal RNA (925 nucleotides) under Plasmodium inui. RNAcentral describes it as "SSU rRNA". It matches the Rfam family "Eukaryotic small subunit ribosomal RNA", at positions 174 to 1051 of the family's 1831-position model. Lineage: Eukaryota; Apicomplexa; Aconoidasida; Haemosporida; Plasmodiidae. The record is from RNAcentral.
UUCUUGAGUGUGUACUUGUUAAGCCUUUUAAGAAAAAAGUUAUUAACUUAAGGAAUUAUAACAAAGAAGCAACACGUAAAUGGAUUUUCCAUUUUUUAGUGUGUAUCAAUCGAGUUUCUGACCUAUCAGCUUUUGAUGUUAGGGUAUUGGCCUAACAUGGCUAUGACGGGUAACGGGGAAUUAGAGUUCGAUUCCGGAGAGGGAGCCUGAGAAAUAGCUACCACAUCUAAGGAAGGCAGCAGGCGCGUAAAUUACCCAAUUCUAAAGAAGAGAGGUAGUGACAAGAAAUAACAAUACAAGGCCAAUCUGGCUUUGUAAUUGGAAUGAUGGGAAUUUAAAACCUUCCCAAAACUCAAUUGGAGGGCAAGUCUGGUGCCAGCAGCCGCGGUAAUUCCAGCUCCAAUAGCGUAUAUUAAAAUUGUUGCAGUUAAAACGCUCGUAGUUGAAUUUCAAAGAAUCGAUAUUUUAAGUAACGCUUUGUAGAUUAAUCCACAUAACUGAUACUACGUAUCGACUUUGUGCGCAUUUUUCUACUUAUGUGUUCUUUUAAUUAAAAUGAUUCUUUUUAAGAUCUUUCUUUUUUGCUUCGGCAUUUUAGGAGAUCUUGUUACUUUGAGUAAAUUAGAGUGUUCAAAGCAAACAGAUUAUAGCAUCUUUAUGCGUUUGAAUACUACAGCAUGGAAUAACAAAAUUGAACAAGUCAGAAUUUUGUUCUUUUUUCUUAUUUUGGCUUAGUUACGAUUAAUAGGAGUAGCUUGGGGGCAUUUGUAUUCAGAUGUCAGAGGUGAAAUUCUUAGAUUUUCUGGAGACAAACAACUGCGAAAGCAUUUGCCUAAAAUACUUCCAUUAAUCAAGAACGAAAGUUAAGGGAGUGAAGACGAUCAGAUACCGUCGUAAUCUUAACCAUAAACUAUGCCGACUAGGC